GACGAACCGAGCGAACGUUGUUCGGAAUCACUGGGCUUAAAGGGCGCGUAGGCGGGUGCUCAAGUCCGGGGUGAAAUCCUCCAGCUCAACUGGAGAACUGCCUCGGAUACUGGGUGCCUCGAGGGUGGUAGGGGUAUGCGGAACUAUCGGUGGAGCGGUGAAAUGCGUUGAUAUCGAUAGGAACUCCGGUGGCGAAGGCGGCAUACUGGAUCACUUCUGACGCUGAGGCGCGAAAGCCAGGGGAGCAAACGGG
Molecule: ribosomal RNA, 253 nt
Filed under: uncultured bacterium
Lineage: Bacteria
Description: partial 16S ribosomal RNA
Rfam family: Bacterial small subunit ribosomal RNA
Source: RNAcentral